UCAAGCUACUAAGGGCAUACGGUGGAUGCCUAGGCGCCAAGAGCCGAAGAAGGACGCGGUAAGCUGCGAAAAGCCACGGGGAACUGCAAGCAAGUAUUGAUCCGUGGAUAUCCGAAUGGGGAAACCCGGCCAUCGUCAUGGAUGGUCACCCGCAAGGGAGGGAACCUGGGGAACUGAAACAUCUAAGUACCCGGAGGAAGAGAAAUCAAACGAGAUGCCCACAGUAGCGGCGAGCGAAGAGGGCAGAGCCCAAACCGAGAAGCUCCGGCUUUUCGGGGUUGAGGACCGGCAGAAUCGAAGUCAGGCCUAGUUGAAUUACCUGGAAAGGUAAGCGAGAGAGGGUAAAAGCCCCGUAGACGAAAGGCAGAGCAGAGAGGCCGAGAUCCAGAGUACCACGAAGCACGAGGAAUUUUGUGGGAAGCAGGGGGGACCACCCUCCAAGGCUAAAAACUACUUGGCGACCGAUAGCGCAUAGUACCGUGAGGGAAAGGUGAAAAGAACCCCGGGAGGGGAGUGAAAUAGUACCUGAAACCGUAUGUCUACAAGCAGUCGAAGCGAAAGCGACGGCGUGCCUAUUGAAGAAUGAACCAACGAGUUAUCUGCACUAGCGAGGUUAAGUGGAAGACACGGAGCCGCAGCGAAAGCGAGUCUUAAGAGGGCGCUAGUUAGUGUAGGUAGACCCGAAACCGCAGUGAUCUACCCAUGUCCAGGUUGAAGCGCAGGUAAAAUUGCGUGGAGGACCGAACCGGUGAGCGUUGAAAAGCUUUCGGAUGAGAUGUGGGUAGGGGUGAAAUUCCAAUCGAACGCGGAGAUAGCUGGUUCUCCCCGAAAUAGCUUUAGGGCUAGCCUGAGGUAGUAAGUAUAGGCGGUAGAGCACUGAUCGGGCUAGGGGCCGUAAAGGUUACCGAACCCUGUCAAACUCCGAAUGGAUAUACUGUAGAGCCUUGGAGUCAGACUACGAGUGAUAAGAUCCGUGGUCAAAAGGGAAACAGCCCAGACCACCAGCUAAGGUCCCCAAUGUCGUACUAAGUGGAAAAGGAUGUGGGGUUUCAUAAACAACCAGGAUGUUGGCUCAGAAGCAGCCACCAUUUAAAGAGUGCGUAAUAGCUCACUGGUCGAGAGACCCUGCGCCGAAGAUUCCCGGGGCUAAAGUACGAAACCGAAGCUGUGGCUGUAUACGUAAAGUAUACGGGGUAGGGGAGCGUUCCCAUAGGGUAGAAGUCGAACUGGAAGGUUCGGUGGACUUGUGGGAAGUGAGAAUGUUGGUAUGAGUAGCGAAAAGAAAGGUGAGAAUCCUUUCCACCGAAAGCAUAAGGAUUCCUGAGCAACGAUCGUCGUCUCAGGGUAAGUCGGGACCUAAUCCGAGGCAGAGAGCGUAGGAGAUGGACAACUGGUUGAUAUUCCAGUACCGGUAGUAAUUGUUUGAGCAAUGGAGUGACACAGAAGGGCAGGCAAGCAUGCGAAUGGAAGAGCAUGUGUAAGCGUGUAGGGUGGUGCAUAGGCAAAUCCGUGCACUGAAAGCCUGAGGCGUGAUGCGGAGUGAGCAGAGAUGCGAGCGAAGUUGUUGACCCCACACUGUCGAGAAAAGCUUCUAGUGAGAGAGCUACCGCCCGUACCGUAAACCGACACAGGUAUGCGGGGAGAGAAUCCUAAGGUGCGCGGGAGAACCCUCGUUAAGGAACUCGGCAAAAUGUACCCGUAACUUCGGGAUAAGGGUAGCCACUGUUGUGAAGUCCCAUGCGGAUGGAGCAUAGAGUGGUCGCAGAGAAGAGGCCCAAGCGACUGUUUACCAUAAACACAGGUGCCUGCUAAAGCGAAAGCUGACGUAUAGGUGCUGACACCUGCCCAGUGCCGGAAGGUUAAGGAAGGAUGUUCGGAGUAAUCCAAAGCAUUCGACUGAAGCCCCGGUGAACGGCGGCCGUAACUAUAACGGUCCUAAGGUAGCGAAAUUCCUUGUCGGGUAAGUUCCGACCCGCACGAAAGGUGUAACGAUUUGGGCACUGUCUCAACGAGGGACCCGGUGAAAUUGAAAUACCUGUGAAGAUGCAGGUUACCCGCGACUGGACAGAAAGACCCCAUGGAGCUUUACUGUAACCUGACAUUGGGUUUUGAUACAUUACGUACAGGAUAGGUGGGAGGCUUGGAAAGCUGGACGCUAGUCUGGCUGGAGCCGACGUUGGGAUACCACCCUUGAUGUAUUGAAAUUCUAACCGCGAGAGUAACGAAAUCCGGGACAGUGUCAGGCGGGCAGUUUGACUGGGGCGGUCGCCUCCGAAAGAGUAACGGAGG
Molecule: ribosomal RNA, 2289 nt
Filed under: human gut metagenome
Description: bacterial LSU rRNA
Rfam family: Bacterial large subunit ribosomal RNA
Source: RNAcentral